CAGUCCACCCACUCACAAACCUCCUCCUCCCAUGAAGAAGUAUUCCUAUUCAGACACAUCGAGCAUCAGUAAACCUGUGUCUGAUUCUCAGUUCAUGCACCACGAGACAGAGAAAGAGGAACCAAUGACAGAUCUCUCAGCAUACCAUGAUGACAAGGAUCAUCAUGAGCCUUCACGUUUCUCCUG
This is a long non-coding RNA of Sinocyclocheilus grahami, 186 nucleotides long. RefSeq lists it as uncharacterized. The record is from RefSeq and is a predicted model, not a curated record. Lineage: Eukaryota; Metazoa; Chordata; Actinopteri; Cypriniformes; Cyprinidae. The transcript has 3 exons.